Molecule: long non-coding RNA, 1468 nt
Filed under: Sorghum bicolor (sorghum)
Lineage: Eukaryota; Viridiplantae; Streptophyta; Magnoliopsida; Poales; Poaceae
Description: long non-coding RNA (SBIC_LNC014396)
Source: RNAcentral
GCUGAAUUUUGACAUAAUUUCUUUUGAUGCAGCUAGCAGGUGGCAGAGGUGUAUUUGAAAGUCAGCAGUAUCCUGACAGCGAUUAGAAUGUCCUCCGGCUGCUAGUCUUCUUGAUUCUUAAAUUCUGUGGAGCUCAAAUAGACAACAAAGCUUUGUGGAACUGAUUAAGUGUUAGCAUAAAUAUCUAGCCUUUAUCAUGUUGAGACUCCUCAAUAAAUGUUACUCCCUAUUUAUAUUUUCAUUUUAUAAAGCAGAAAAAAAUAUUUAUUUUGUUUUUAUGCCACCACAGUGAAUGUACUCAUGGGUUUCAUGCCACUCGUAUACUCACGUGGGGCUUACUAUUUUUUUAACAUUUUUAUUUUCUUUUUAGGAUAGUAUGAACAUGAUUAACUAAGCAAACUAUAUUAAAUAAUUGAAAGGGAAAGGAAAACUACCAAGUUUACCUCUCGGCAAGGCGUUCAGGUUUUUUAAGUCCUCUGAACGGGACUAUCCGUUUUCUCAGUAGUCCUGGGAUUCGUUGGUUGGCGGAGUCGGUACUUCCGGCAGCGCCUCUUCUUCAUGUAUGGUUAUCUUCUCUUUCCACACCUGACUCGGUGCUUCGGUCUCCUCUAGAUAAUUCUGUUUAAACUCUACGUCUUCUGACCUUACCACUUCUCCUUCAUAGUCUGCCCAUCCGUCCUUGAUGAUUUGCCUCCUCUAGUUGCGGUUACGUCGCUUUCUGACCUACUUAGAUUCUUCAACGAUAUAGUUAGGGUCAGUAAAAUAGCGGCGUACCUUCUCUAAGGGGAAGUGCAUAUGGACUUCUCCAGUUCCAAUGUAGAUGACUGCUUUGAAGGUGCUGAGGAAUGGUCUUCCAAGGAUGAUGGGUGGAUCGUAUUCGUCUUCUCCCAUGUCAAUAACCUGAAAGUCUGUGUAGACAAAAAUGAUCGUCUAUUUUCACAGGGACAUCAGUUAUUGUUCCUUUAACCUCUCGAAACGUCUGAUCUGCCAUCUAUGUAUGUUGGUUUUAGGGGCAUGGUUCCGAACAAGAGCCGAUAGGUGACUAUGGCCAUUAUGUUGACGCCCGAUCCGGUGUCGCAAAAUGUCUUGUAAAAGUUGUAUCCAUUUAUAGAGCAAUAGAUGCUUGGCAUUCCUGGGUCGUCCUUCUUGGUCAAAAACGGUGACUUAAGUUGGUGAUCUUGACCUCCAUGAACUGCAGUGACCAUCUUAGCUGACUCGGUCCACACUUGCUUGUUCCUGUUCCUCCUGUUGGUCCUUUUCCUUGGUUCAAGUCUGGAUUGAUCUGGGAUUUGUGUAGUCUUGUUCUUGAAGGAAAACGUCUCCUUCCUCCCUUUGAUGUAGAAACUGAUCUUGGCAGCACUAGCGUAGAUGACAGCUCCCGAGGUGUUUAAGAAUGGCGUCCCUAAGAUGAUGGGUGCUCUCUCAUCAUUACCGGUCUCUAUCACCACAAAGUCUGCUGGGGCAUAUA